UGCGGGACGGGGCGCGGGGCUGCCGCCGGCGGGGGCGGGGGACGUCUGCUUCCCGCUUGGCCCCUCCGAGAGGGGGGGAGGAAAAAGAAAAAAAGAAAACUGGAGAAUUUAAAAAAGAAAAGGGGCUGAAAGCGCAGCCCCUGUUUGCGGGCACCCCAGGCUGAGGGUUAUUCUCGGGGUGCGAGAGCUUCCCCGCUUUUCUUUUUGCUGUGGGAGAGGGUCUACGUUUGCUUUGGGUCUUUUUCUUUCUUUUUUCGCCUGGAAAUGGGGAAUUGCACGGCGAUCCGCGGGAGCGCAGAAAGAGAAAGGGAGGGGAGGAGGAGGGAAAGGGAGAGAAGGUUGCACGGGGAGCUGCAGCCUACAGGUUGCAGGGGUUGGGGAGUGGGAUGGGACCGCACACACACACAAGCACACGCACCCAAAGGGAUGGGAGGAGGCAGGUUGGGAAGGGAGCAAAGUUCCUUGAAACCCAGCGUCCUGCUCUUAUGGCAUCAAAGCAGUCAAGAGGGGGGGGGGGGGGGAGAAAAGAAAAGCGCAGGAGAAGGAAGAGGGGAUGCAAAGCUCCCCUUCCCUCCCCCUUCUUCUGCAGGAGGAGAAGAAGUCUCUCCCGACGCAGCGAGCUGCUGGGAAGCGUGAUCAGUCAGCUAUGCGGCUGCAUUGCACGGAUUUUGCCACUAGAAUGCACCCUUAUCUAUGGUAAGAGGACGGAGAGCUGCUUAAAAAGCAUUAACUCUUUCUUCACCAAAAUUUCCCUGCUGAAGUAUUUUCUGCACAUUUCAGGUGUUCCUUGUUUUACUGCCUUCCUACCCCAUGUGGGCUUCGUAGUAAAGAUAGGCUCCCUUCUGUCCUUUUUUCAACCCCUCUUUUCAAAAAGGAAAGGCACAUUUCUGAGCUUUCCCCCUUUUCUUUGAAUCAGCAGGUUUUCCAGAGGUUUUAUUAGAUAAUACCCGAAUCUUUGCUUAGAUCGUAGCUAACCACUGCAAAAUAGGCACCCCUAAGGUAAGAAAAGCAACCCCCUGGGAUUUUAUCUAGAAGCAUUUUUUAAUGUUUUUUCUGGUUGAUACUUAGGACUUUUGCAGCAUUUUAUUAUUUAUUAAUUGCAUCCUGCUGCUGAGUUUUGUGGGGAUCUGCUACUGGUCUGACUGGGUGCCUUGCAAAAUGUAACACUGGGCAGAGAGAACACUCCUCAUCUGGAAAUCUGGAAGCACUUUGCAAAAGGGCUUAGGACAGGGGAGAACUGGCUUUCUUUCUUCUCUCCUCUACCCUGUAAGAAAGAGUACAUCCCAAAUAAUAUCUAGUAUGGAGAAAGCGUGAGUAUUGGGAGGGAUAGUGGAGAGGUUUCAUUCCCACUGCAACCUGCGGGAUGCAGAGUGGUGAGGCAUGUAUGGAGCUGCUUCUAUCCAGCCCAGCUGCAAGCCCUGGCAUAGGAGGCUUGGGCAUGGCUGGAUGGCUGUGGGGCAAGGAUCCUGCAAGGCAGCCCUGGGGAAGCUGCCCUAAUUUUAGUUUGUCCGGGAGCUUUCUCCUGGGCCUUCCAGGUGGUGUGAGGUUGUCUUGAGGGCAUCUUGGCUUCACUGAGCUGCAAGGCUGCGUUGGGACUUUCAUCCAUGAAAGCACACCUGGAAGUGUUGUCUGAUUCUCAAACCAGAAGAUGGCAAAGUUUUAGUCAUGAGAUGUGCCCUGAUGGCAGGUUUUCUGCCAGAUUAUGAAAGUGGACUCAACCACAAGGAUCCUACCACUGAGCCCAGCAAUCAGGAUAAAGCUGCAGAUGAACACUUGGUACAUGCUGUCUGCACUCCUCCCUUUUUGGCAUUUUUUUGCUUUUUAGCAUUUUUGCUGGUGAUCCAAAAAAAAACCAACAAAAAAAACAAAAACAAAAAAACCCAACCAUGACGUGCUUUCUUAUUUGGGGGG
This 1911-nucleotide long non-coding RNA is filed under the name Phasianus colchicus (ring-necked pheasant). Its description in RNAcentral is "lncRNA (ENSPCLG00000004778.1)". The record is from RNAcentral. Lineage: Eukaryota; Metazoa; Chordata; Aves; Galliformes; Phasianidae.